RNAcentral lists this ribosomal RNA (406 nucleotides) under uncultured bacterium. RNAcentral's name for it is "partial 16S ribosomal RNA". It matches the Rfam family "Bacterial small subunit ribosomal RNA", at positions 29 to 526 of the family's 1533-position model. The record is from RNAcentral.
AUUGAACGCUGGCGGCAGGCCUAACACAUGCAAGUCGAACGAGUGGCGGACGGGGGAGUAAUGUCUGGGAAACUGCCUGAUGGAGGGGGAUAACUACUGGAAACGGUAGCUAAUACAGCAUACCAUCGGAUGUGCCCAUAUGGGCUUAGCUAGUAGGUGGGGGAAAGGGUCACCUAGGCGACGAACCCUAGCUGGUCGGAGAGGAUGACCAGCCACACUGGAACUGAGACACGGUCCAGCCGCCUACGGGAGGAAGCAGUGGGGCAUAUUGGACAAUGGGCGCAAGCAUGAUGCAGCCAUGCCGCGUGUAUGAAGAAGGCCUUCGGGUUGUAAAGUACUUUCAGCGGUGAGGCGUUACCCGCAGAAGAAGCACCGGCUAACUCCGUGCCAGCCGCCGCGGUAAUAC